CUUUACUAUAGCCUGGAAUUGUGUUCGGGCUUCGCUUACGCAGGAUAGGUGGGAGGCUAUGAAGUUCUGCUUGUGGGCAGAAUCGAGCCAACGGUGAGAUACCACUUUAGCGAGGCUAGAAUUCUAACCCUUGCCCAUGAUCUGGGAAGGAGACAGUUUCAGGGGGGUAGUUUGACUGGGGCGGUCGCCUCCUAAAAGGUAACUGAGGCGCGCAAAGGUCCCCUCAGUCUGGACGGAAAUCAGACAACGGGUGUAAAGGCAAAAGGGAGCUUGACUGCAAGACCUACAAGUCGAGCAGGGUGGAAACACGGUCUUAGUGAUCCGACGGUGCCGCAUGGAAGGGCCGUCGCUCAACGGAUAAAAGUUA
This 367-nucleotide ribosomal RNA is filed under the name uncultured organism. RNAcentral describes it as "bacterial LSU rRNA". It matches the Rfam family "Bacterial large subunit ribosomal RNA", at positions 2099 to 2465 of the family's 2925-position model. The record is from RNAcentral.